GCUUCCAUAGCUCAGUUGGCCAGAGCACGUGAUUUGUAAUCUCGGGGUCGUGGGUUCGAAUCCCUCUGGAAGCUC
This 75-nucleotide transfer RNA is filed under the name Chryseobacterium jejuense. RNAcentral describes it as "tRNA-Thr(tgt)". It matches the Rfam family "tRNA". Rfam says of the family: Transfer RNA (tRNA) molecules are approximately 80 nucleotides in length. Their secondary structure includes four short double-helical elements and three loops (D, anti-codon, and T loops). Further hydrogen bonds mediate the characteristic L-shaped molecular structure. tRNAs have two regions of fundamental functional importance: the anti-codon, which is responsible for specific mRNA codon recognition, and the 3' end, to which the tRNAs corresponding amino acid is attached (by aminoacyl-tRNA synthetases). tRNAs cope with the degeneracy of the genetic code in two manners: having more than one tRNA (with a specific anti-codon) for a particular amino acid; and 'wobble' base-pairing, i.e. permitting non-standard base-pairing at the 3rd anti-codon position. RNAcentral also lists the same sequence under 1 other name. The record is from RNAcentral. Lineage: Bacteria; Pseudomonadati; Bacteroidota; Flavobacteriia; Flavobacteriales; Weeksellaceae.